Long non-coding RNA from Homo sapiens (human), 995 nucleotides. Ensembl annotates it as Pvt1 oncogene. Its record names the gene PVT1. NCBI's taxonomy places the organism in Eukaryota, Metazoa, Chordata, Mammalia, Primates, Hominidae. The record is from Ensembl.
ACACCCCCUCAGGGCUGGGCGAAGGAUUUAUUAGGAGAAAAACCUUCCCGGAAGCUGCAGAAGGACAAAUACAGAAUCCGUGUCUGGGAGAAACCUCGUGGCCUGGUCUCCAUUAUUUGAGAUGAGUUACAUCUUGGAGGUGAGGACGUGCCUCGUGGUCUAAAGCUUCGGCACAAGGGCCCAACUGGAAUUCCACUUACGGGCCUGAUCUUUUGGCCAGAAGGAGAUUAAAAAGAUGCCCCUCAAGAUGGCUGUGCCUGUCAGCUGCAUGGAGCUUCGUUCAAGUAUUUUCUGAGCCUGAUGGAUUUACAGUGAUCUUCAGUGGUCUGGGGAAUAACGCUGGUGGAACCAUGCACUGGAAUGACACACGCCCGGCACAUUUCAGGAUACUAAAAGUGGUUUUAAGGGAGGCUGUGGCUGAAUGCCUCAUGGAUUCUUACAGCUUGGAUGUCCAUGGGGGACGAAGGACUGCAGCUGGCUGAGAGGGUUGAGAUCUCUGUUUACUUAGAUCUCUGCCAACUUCCUUUGGGUCUCCCUAUGGAAUGUAAGACCCCGACUCUUCCUGGUGAAGCAUCUGAUGCACGUUCCAUCCGGCGCUCAGCUGGGCUUGAGAUUCCUGGGAACACCACCAUGGAGGGCCUGGCCUUUGGCGGUGGACAGUCUGUGGCUGGGUGGGAACGUCAGGAGUGGGGCCUGCCUCUUUGCUGGGAAUGCCGUGCACUCCCAGCCCACUUGCCCCAUGCCAGCACUCGAGGCAGGACUUCGCAGGUGAGCAGUAACGGAAAUCAGCCCCGUUUAUUCCUCCCAGCACCUGCCUUAUCCAACUCCCCACGCUGUGGCUGAGUCCCAGCCUGCUAUGGAAGCAUCACUGGACUCCCAUUGAACUCUGUGCAGAUUCGCUGUUCGUAGACAUGGUACCUGAUGGACACCAAGCUACGUACAGCUUCAAGGCCCCUUCUUUCUUUGCUAAUAAAAAAUAAAAAAUAAAAACAUAA